UGAGGAAUAUUGGUCAAUGACCCCAGUCUGAAACAGCCCAGUAGCGUUCCGGAAUACGGCCCUUUGGGUUGUAAACUUGUUUUAUUUGGGGGUAAAGGGGGGAACGUUUUUCCUUUUGCAGGUUCCAUAUGAAUAAGGACCGGCUAAUUCCGUGCCAGCAGCCGCGGUAAUACGGAAGGUUCGGGCGUUAUCCGGAUUUAUUGGGUUUAAAGGGAGCGUAGGCCGUUUGGUAAGCGUGUUGUGAAAUGUAGGAGCUCAACUUCUAGAUUGCAGCGCGAACUGUCAGACUUGAGUGCGCACAACGUAGGCGGAAUUCAUGGUGUAGCGGUGAAAUGCUUAGAUAUCAUGAAGAACUCCGAUUGCGAAGGCAGCUUACGGGAGCGCAACUGACGCUGAAGCUCGAAGGUGCGGGUAUCGAACAGG
Molecule: ribosomal RNA, 423 nt
Filed under: Verrucomicrobiota bacterium
Lineage: Bacteria; Pseudomonadati; Verrucomicrobiota
Description: Verrucomicrobia bacterium partial 16S ribosomal RNA
Rfam family: Bacterial small subunit ribosomal RNA
Source: RNAcentral